CAGUAGCCGCGGGAAUACAGAGGGUGCGAGCGUUAAUCGGAAUUACUGGGCGUAAAGCGUGCGCAGGCGGUUUUGUAAGACAGAGGUGAAAUCCCCGGGCUCAACCUGGGAACUGCCUUUGUGACUGCAAGGCUAGAGUACGGCAGAGGGGGAUGGAAUUCCGCGUGUAGCAGUGAAAUGCGUAGAUAUGCGGAGGAACACCGAUGGCGAAGGCAAUCCCCUGGGCCUGUACUGACGCUCAUGCACGAAAGCGUGGGGAGCAAACAGGAUUAGAUACCCGGGUAGUCCCUGUCUCUUAUAC
This 301-nucleotide ribosomal RNA is filed under the name uncultured bacterium. RNAcentral's name for it is "partial 16S ribosomal RNA". It matches the Rfam family "Bacterial small subunit ribosomal RNA", at positions 509 to 807 of the family's 1533-position model. The record is from RNAcentral.